This 440-nucleotide ribosomal RNA is filed under the name uncultured bacterium. RNAcentral's name for it is "partial 16S ribosomal RNA". It matches the Rfam family "Bacterial small subunit ribosomal RNA", at positions 338 to 795 of the family's 1533-position model. The record is from RNAcentral.
CCUACGGGGGACAGCAGUAGGGAAUAUUGCUCAAUGGGGGAAACCCUGAAGCAGCAACGCCGCGUGGAGGAUGAAGGUUUUCGGAUUGUAAACUCCUUUUGUUAGAGAAGAUAAUGACGGUAUCUAACGAAUAAGCACCGACUAACUCCGUGCCAGCAGCCGCGGUAAUACGGAGGGUGCAAGCGUUACUCGGAAUCACUGGGCGGAAAGAGCGCGUAGGCGGGAUAGCAAGUCAGAUGUGAAAUCCUAUGGCUUAACCAUAGAACUGCAUUUGAAACUGUUAUUCUAGAGUAUGGGAGAGGUAGGUGGAAUUCUUGGUGUAGGGGUAAAAUCCGUAGAGAUCAAGAGGAAUACUCAUUGCGAAGGCGACCUGCUAGAACAUAACUGACGCUGAUGCGCGAAAGCGUGGGGAGCAAACAGGAUUAGAUACCCCAGUAGUC